UUAGUGGCGGACGGGUGGAGUAACGCGUGGAUAACCUGCCGUAUACCGGGGAGUAACACUUAGAAAUAGGUGCUAAUACCGCAUAAGCGCACGGCUCCGCAUGGGGCGAGUGUGAAAAACUACCGGUGGUAUACGAUGGAUCCGCGUCUGAUUAGCUAGUUGGCGGGGUAACGGCCCACCAAGGCAGCGAUCAGUAGCCGGCCUGAGAGGGUGGACGGCCACAUUGGGACUGAGACACGGCCCAAACUCCUACGGGAGGCAGCAG
RNAcentral lists this ribosomal RNA (265 nucleotides) under uncultured bacterium. RNAcentral's name for it is "partial 16S ribosomal RNA". It matches the Rfam family "Bacterial small subunit ribosomal RNA", at positions 92 to 354 of the family's 1533-position model. The record is from RNAcentral.